RNAcentral lists this ribosomal RNA (116 nucleotides) under Danio rerio (zebrafish). The record is from RNAcentral. Lineage: Eukaryota; Metazoa; Chordata; Actinopteri; Cypriniformes; Danionidae.
UAUUACAGUCAUAUCACCAUGCAGCCCAAGACCGGUUACUACUGAAGUUUAGCAGGGUUGAGCCUCAGUAGUAUCUGGAUGGUAGACCACAUGGAAAAACUAGGUUGCUGUUGGAA